UACCAUUUGUUCGACUUGUUGUAUAUCUUGUAUCCUUGUAUAUGUGGUAGACUUAUGUUCUCGCUCUGAUUACCAUGUUUAGGAUUGAUUUCUAUUUCUUUCUAUGGUUGUUGUAGACGCCUUGUGUGCACCGGGGGUGCUUGGUGUACACAGCGGAUCUAUGCACGCGCCCGGUGGGCUUUCACUGGGGCCCGGGGCGUGAUAUGCCGAGGUGAAAAACAUUGAGGGAAGAGUGCAUUUGCACUGGUUAUAGAGUUAUCGCACUAUUUUCAUCAAAACAUUGCACUAAAUAGGUCAAUGUUACACCAUUUACAGCCUCUUUUGAACUGCUAUAUUCACGACAACAUAAAAUACAGAUAACAAUUUGCAUUUUUUUAGAUAUGAUUUUACCGUUGCUGCCAAAGUUGCGCUACUUGCUUAGCCGUGUGGUAUCUCUUUGCAAAUGAACGACUUGUCCUUCUCCUCCACUUCCUAACCUGAAAGUCGGCUCCUUCCUCCACGUUUCUUCCACUUCUCUUUUGAAACGCCCGAACACGGCGCGAGAGUGCUGGAAUAAACUAGCAGGCUUACAUGGAGGAG
This 579-nucleotide long non-coding RNA is filed under the name Ananas comosus (pineapple). RNAcentral's name for it is "long non-coding RNA (ACOM_LNC023404)". Lineage: Eukaryota; Viridiplantae; Streptophyta; Magnoliopsida; Poales; Bromeliaceae. The record is from RNAcentral.